AGUGAACGCUGGCGGUAGGCCUAACACAUGCAAGUCGAACGGCAGCACAGUAAGAGCUUGCUCUUACGGGUGGCGAGUGGCGGACGGGUGAGGAAUACAUCGGAAUCUACUUUUUCGUGGGGGAUAACGUAGGGAAACUUACGCUAAUACAGCAUACGACCUACGGGUGAAAGCAGGGGAUCUUCGGACCUUUCGCGAUUGAAUGAGCCGAUGUCGGAUUAGCUGGUUGGGGGGGUAAAGGCCCACCAAGGCGACGAUCGGUAGCUGGUCUGAGAGGCUGAUCAGCCACACUGGAACUGAGCCACCGUCAAGACUCCUACGGGAGGCAGCAGUGGGGAAUAUUGGCCAAUGGGCGCAAGCCUGAUCCAGCCAUACCGCGUGGGUGAAGAAGGCCUUCGGGUUGUAAAGCCCUUUUGUUGGGAAAGAAAAGCAGCCGGUUAAUACCCCGCUGUUCUGACGGUACCCAAAGAAUAAGCACCGGCUAACUUCGUG
RNAcentral lists this ribosomal RNA (492 nucleotides) under uncultured bacterium. RNAcentral describes it as "partial 16S ribosomal RNA". It matches the Rfam family "Bacterial small subunit ribosomal RNA", at positions 29 to 507 of the family's 1533-position model. The record is from RNAcentral.